GGGUUGUGAGGUUAAGCGACUAAGCGUACACGGUGGAUGCCCUGGCAGUCAGAGGCGAUGAAGGACGUGCUAAUCUGCGAUAAGCGUCGGUAAGGUGAUAUGAACCGUUAUAACCGGCGAUUUCCGAAUGGGGAAACCCAGUGUGAUUCGUCACACUAUCAUUAACUGAAUCCAUAGGUUAAUGAGGCGAACCGGGGGAACUGAAACAUCUAAGUACCCCGAGGAAAAGAAAUCAACCGAGAUUCCCCCAGUAGCGGCGAGCGAACGGGGAGCAGCCCAGAGCCUGAAUCAGUGUGUGUGUUAGUGGAAGCGUCUGGAAAGGCGCGCGAUACAGGGUGACAGCCCCGUACACAAAAAUGCACAUGCUGUGAGCUCGAUGAGUAGGGCGGGACACGUGGUAUCCUGUCUGAAUAUGGGGGGACCAUCCUCCAAGGCUAAAUACUCCUGACUGACCGAUAGUGAACCAGUACCGUGAGGGAAAGGCGAAAAGAACCCCGGCGAGGGGAGUGAAAAAGAACCUGAAACCGUGUACGUACAAGCAGUGGGAGCACGCUUAGGCGUGUGACUGCGUACCUUUUGUAUAAUGGGUCAGCGACUUAUAUUCUGUAGCAAGGUUAACCGAAUAGGGGAGCCGAAGGGAAACCGAGUCUUAACUGGGCGUUAAGUUGCAGGGUAUAGACCCGAAACCCGGUGAUCUAGCCAUGGGCAGGUUGAAGGUUGGGUAACACUAACUGGAGGACCGAACCGACUAAUGUUGAAAAAUUAGCGGAUGACUUGUGGCUGGGGGUGAAAGGCCAAUCAAACCGGGAGAUAGCUGGUUCUCCCCGAAAGCUAUUUAGGUAGCGCCUCGUGAAUUCAUCUCCGGGGGUAGAGCACUGUUUCGGCAAGGGGGUCAUCCCGACUUACCAACCCGAUGCAAACUGCGAAUACCGGAGAAUGUUAUCACGGGAGACACACGGCGGGUGCUAACGUCCGUCGUGAAGAGGGAAACAACCCAGACCGCCAGCUAAGGUCCCAAAGUCAUGGUUAAGUGGGAAACGAUGUGGGAAGGCCCAGACAGCCAGGAUGUUGGCUUAGAAGCAGCCAUCAUUUAAAGAAAGCGUAAUAGCUCACUGGUCGAGUCGGCCUGCGCGGAAGAUGUAACGGGGCUAAACCAUGCACCGAAGCUGCGGCAGCGACGCUUAUGCGUUGUUGGGUAGGGGAGCGUUCUGUAAGCCUGCGAAGGUGUGCUGUGAGGCAUGCUGGAGGUAUCAGAAGUGCGAAUGCUGACAUAAGUAACGAUAAAGCGGGUGAAAAGCCCGCUCGCCGGAAGACCAAGGGUUCCUGUCCAACGUUAAUCGGGGCAGGGUGAGUCGACCCCUAAGGCGAGGCCGAAAGGCGUAGUCGAUGGGAAACAGGUUAAUAUUCCUGUACUUGGUGUUACUGCGAAGGGGGGACGGAGAAGGCUAUGUUGGCCGGGCGACGGUUGUCCCGGUUUAAGCGUGUAGGCUGGUUUUCCAGGCAAAUCCGGAAAAUCAAGGCUGAGGCGUGAUGACGAGGCACUACGGUGCUGAAGCAACAAAUGCCCUGCUUCCAGGAAAAGCCUCUAAGCAUCAGGUAACAUCAAAUCGUACCCCAAACCGACACAGGUGGUCAGGUAGAGAAUACCAAGGCGCUUGAGAGAACUCGGGUGAAGGAACUAGGCAAAAUGGUGCCGUAACUUCGGGAGAAGGCACGCUGAUAUGUAGGUGAAG
This 1733-nucleotide ribosomal RNA is filed under the name Escherichia coli. RNAcentral's name for it is "bacterial LSU rRNA". It matches the Rfam family "Bacterial large subunit ribosomal RNA", at positions 1 to 1767 of the family's 2925-position model. The record is from RNAcentral. Lineage: Bacteria; Pseudomonadati; Pseudomonadota; Gammaproteobacteria; Enterobacterales; Enterobacteriaceae.